CACGUAGGGUGCGAGCGUUGUCCGGAAUUAUUGGGCGUAAAGAGCUCGUAGGCGGUCUGUUGCGUCGGCUGUGAAAACCCGGGGCUCAACCCCGGGCCUGCAGCCGAUACGGGCAGACUAGAGUUCGGCAGGGGAGACUGGAAUUCCUGGUGUAGCGGUGAAAUGCGCAGAUAUCAGGAGGAACACCGAUGGCGAAGGCAGGUCUCUGGGCCAUUACUGACGCUGAGGAGCGAAAGCGUGGGGAGCGAACAGG
Molecule: ribosomal RNA, 253 nt
Filed under: uncultured bacterium
Lineage: Bacteria
Description: partial 16S ribosomal RNA
Rfam family: Bacterial small subunit ribosomal RNA
Source: RNAcentral